RNAcentral lists this ribosomal RNA (467 nucleotides) under uncultured bacterium. RNAcentral's name for it is "partial 16S ribosomal RNA". It matches the Rfam family "Bacterial small subunit ribosomal RNA", at positions 28 to 506 of the family's 1533-position model. The record is from RNAcentral.
GACGAACGCUGGCGGCGUGCUUAACACAUGCAAGUCGAACGGAAAGGCCCUGCUUUUGUGGGGUGCUCGAGUGGCGAACGGGUGAGUAACACGUGAGUAACCUGCCCUUGACUUUGGGAUAACUUCAGGAAACUGGGGCUAAUACCGGAUAGGAGCUCCUGCUGCAUGGUGGGGGUUGGAAAGUUUCGGCGGUUGGGGAUGGACUCGCGGCUUAUCAGCUUGUUGGUGGGGUAGUGGCUUACCAAGGCUUUGACGGGUAGCCGGCCUGAGAGGGUGACCGGCCACAUUGGGAUUGGGAUACGGCCCAGACUCCUCCGGGAGGAAGAAGUGGGGAAUAUUGCACAAGGGGCGGAAGCCUGAUGCAGCAACGCCGCGUGCGGGAUGACGGCCUUCGGGUUGUAAACCGCUUUCGCCUGUGACGAAGCGUGAGUGACGGUAAUGGGUAAAGAAGCACCGGCUACCUACGU